CAGCCGCCACGGUAAUACGUAGGUCCCGAGCGUUGUCCGGAUUUAUUGGGCGUAAAGCGAGCGCAGGCGGUUAGAUAAGUCUGAAGUUAAAGGCUGUGGCUUAACCAUAGUACGCUUUGGAAACUGUUUAACUUGAGUGCAAGAGGGGAGAGUGGAAUUCCAUGUGUAGCGGUGAAAUGCGUAGAUAUAUGGAGGAACACCGGUGGCGAAAGCGGCUCUCUGGCUUGUAACUGACGCUGAGGCUCGAAAGCGUGGGGAGCAAACAGGAUUAGAUACCCCGAGUAGUCCCUGUCUCUUAUAC
This 301-nucleotide ribosomal RNA is filed under the name uncultured bacterium. RNAcentral describes it as "partial 16S ribosomal RNA". It matches the Rfam family "Bacterial small subunit ribosomal RNA", at positions 509 to 807 of the family's 1533-position model. The record is from RNAcentral.